UUUCCGUAGGUGAACCUGCGGAAGGAUCAUUCAUAAUAAAGUGUUUUAUGGCACUUUUUAAAAAUCCAUAUCCACCUUGUGUGCAAUGUUAGAUCUCGUCAAUCUUGGCGAGAUUUUUAUACAUCAACUCAUCCUUUAACUAAUUUGUCUGAAAAAUAUUAUGAAUACUUAUUUCAAAAUACAACUUUCAACAACGGAUCUCUUGGCUCUC
This 211-nucleotide unclassified non-coding RNA is filed under the name plant metagenome. RNAcentral's name for it is "partial contains small subunit ribosomal RNA, internal transcribed spacer 1, and 5.8S ribosomal RNA". The record is from RNAcentral.